Long non-coding RNA from Alexandromys fortis (reed vole), 2449 nucleotides. RefSeq lists it as uncharacterized. NCBI's taxonomy places the organism in Eukaryota, Metazoa, Chordata, Mammalia, Rodentia, Cricetidae. The transcript has 5 exons. The record is from RefSeq and is a predicted model, not a curated record.
CAACCACCCGCGCGCUCACACGUUUCCCCCGCUCAGUUUCCAUGGCUCCGCUUUCCUACUUUUCCUCGGUCCUCAGGCUGUUCUGUCAUGUGGGUUUUUACUAGAGGAGCAGGGGUGGUGUUCUAAGAGAACUUAAAAUCCUAGAGGGAGGAAGGCGGCCGGGAAGCCUGUAUUACUUGUCACUGCCGUUACAAAGAGGCUCUAGGUAUCGUUAAAAAACAAAAGCCUAAAACCUCAAGGUUGGAACAUCAGCCAAGCCAAAUGUCAUAGAAAUACGUCUUGGAGCAGCUAAAUUCUAAGUAUGCGGUUUGCAUACUAUCCUUAAAGGACUUGAUCAGUUGAAGUGCGUAUAAAUGAAAAUCUAAAACCUGGUUUUCAGUGUCUUUAUUGACUAGUCUCAUUCGCUUAGUGUCAACGGCUUCUUCCAUGCACUAGGGUCUGAGAAAAGCAUAUAGCAUUAUAGACAUUUUAAGCAUCAAAACAACAACAAAAAAAAAUUCAAAAUAUUUUGUAGACUCUGGUUCGAGGUUUCUCCGCAAACUAUAUAUUUUUAAAAAUGGGCGAAGAGAGUUAAAUUAUCUUUGAGAAGUUCAAGUUACAGAAUUAAAUUAAAUCCAAUUUAUUGUUUAAAAUACAUUUACCCAAAAGAAGGGAAAAAUGGAGAGAGGGUGUAUGUUAAGGAAAAGAGAAAGCAGUAGAGAGAAACAGAUGUUCCUGAGAGUGUGCAGUUAACUGCCAAAGUAACUCAACAUGGAGUCACAGGAGCUUGAUUUGUGUGUGUGUGUGUGUGUGUGUGUGUGUGUGUGUGUGUGUGUGUGUGCACUUCCAUUGAUGGAAAGGGGGCAGUCACCACUAACCUCUUUAUUGUGUUUAGGAAGAUUUGAGAGGUAGGAAAGCUUCUCAAACAGGAUGUCUGUGCAUUUGAUCUGGUCUCCAUCAGCCUGGGAGCUGAUGCUGCUGUUUCAAGAUUUCCCCACUGCUUCCAGGCACAGCCAGGCUCAAGAUGUUUCCUGCCUUUUAAUGCUUUAGCUGGCAGAGAAAGGAACCCAAUCAAGACCCCCAAGUGGGACCAUUUUUGAGACCUUAUCCAGGAUUCCUUUUGAGGACCACCAACUCAUCCAGGUUGUCACUUAGAUGCUACUGUCUGGUUGUGACUUCAGCAAAUAGAACCUGGAUUUCACUCAGGUUGUUGUCCACUUCCACUGGACAUUGCCUGUGGUACAGAUGGCCCGAGGCAUCUUUUGCUGACGCAACAUCCCUCCCAGCACACGUCAAGAAUAUACUGUCACCAAAUGGUGGUGGUAUGUUCUGGACCAACGUUUUACCGUGAGCCCUUAGAUUAACUCUCCUCUGAGUCACCGUUGCUCCUCACUUCUCACCUUUUCUGUCAGCAGGUGAGCUUAUGACUAGCCGUCUAGCCGCUUUUCCCAUCCUCAAUCCUGCAUUCCGAUGGACGGUGGGGAACCUACUUGUCAGCACAUCAAUAUGCUCAACUCUAAAAAAAGAAAUGUCUGAGGAGACCAGAAGAGGACAUCAGACCCCCUGGAAUAGGAGUUAUAGGCAGUUAUGACCUACCUGAUGUAGCUGCUGGGAACCGAACCUGAGUCUUUUCAAGAUCGGAUAUUGAUGCAGACAUUGGCCUCGUGUUAUUAUUCUACCAAUAGAAGGAUCUGAAUAUAAAAAUCGAAGUUGAAAUGUCUGACCCUAAGCAGAAGAAUGCUUCGAGAGAUCUCCAACUGAAGACAGCACAGUUAAAGGCAAAAUGCAGACCAUGAAGCAGUAUAAAAGCCCUACGUGUGAAGAAUUGAAAUAGCCAGGGGAGGAUCAUCCGACCCCUGUCCUAGCGUAUUUUACCAAUGGUGAUGACACCCAUUCCUUGAAUUAGUGUUGGUGUGCUUGCCGCACAGGGCUUCUGAUCACUGAGCAAUAUUCAGACUUCCUUACUAAUGUGGAGCUGAAAUAUGACAUCAGAGCCAAUACAGAUGUCCUUAAGACGCUUGUAGAAUGUCAGAUGCGUGAAGUUACAUGAGGUGUCACACGAGUUUUCCUCUCUGAGAAGGAGCACCUACCUGUCAUGUCACCCAGAUGGUUGUAUGCCUAUAGGUGGCAGUCAUUCAGUCAUUCUCUGUGCUGGCUAGUUUCAUGUCAACUUGACAAAAAGUAGAGUCCUCGAAGAGGAGGGAACCUCAACUGAGAAAAUUUCCAUAAGAUUCGGCUGUAGGCAAACUUGUGUGUAGGGCAUUUUCUUAAUUAGUGAUUGAUGGGAGAGAGCGCAAUGCAUUGUGGGUGGAGCUAUCUCUAGGCUGGUGGUCCUGGGUUCUAUCAGAAAGCAGGCUGAACAAACCAUGUGGCAAAAAGCCAGUAAGCGGCACCCCUCCAUGGCCUCUGCAUCAGUUCCUGCCUCCAGUUUCCUGCCCUGUUUGAGUUCCUGUCCUGACUUCCUUCAGUG